GAUGAACGCUGGCGGCGGGCCUAAUACAUGCAAGUCGAGCGAACAGACGAUUAGCUUGCUCCUCUGACGUUAGCGGCGGGCGGGUGGGUAACACGUGCAUAACCUUCCUAUAUUACUGGGAUGACUUCGUGAAACCGGAUCUACUACCAGAUAAUAUGUUGUACCGCAUGGAUCAAUAGUGAUUGGCGGUUUUGCUGUCUGUUAUAGAUGUAGCCGUGCUGCAUUAGCUAGUUGGUAAGGUAACGGCUUACCAAGGCAACGAUGCGUAGCCGACCUGAGAGGGUGAUCGGCCACACUGGAACUGAGACACGGUCCAGACUCCUACGGGAGGCAGCAGUGGGGAAUAUUCCGCAAUGGGCGAAAGCCUGACGGAGCAAUGCCGCGUGAGUGAUGAAGGUCUUCGGAUUGUAAAACUCUGUUAUUAGGGAAGAAAAAAAGUAUAAGUAACUACGCCCGUUCUGACGGUACCUAAUGAGAAAGCAACGGCUAACUACGUG
This 497-nucleotide ribosomal RNA is filed under the name uncultured bacterium. RNAcentral describes it as "partial 16S ribosomal RNA". It matches the Rfam family "Bacterial small subunit ribosomal RNA", at positions 28 to 507 of the family's 1533-position model. The record is from RNAcentral.